UGGCUUAGUGGUAGAGUGCUUGCCUUGCAUGCAUGAGGCCCUGGGUUCAAUUCCUCAG
Molecule: non-coding RNA, 58 nt
Organism: Dipodomys ordii (Ord's kangaroo rat)
Lineage: Eukaryota; Metazoa; Chordata; Mammalia; Rodentia; Heteromyidae
Source: Rfam